CGGGCAACGGCCACAACAGUACCGGGGGAGCCUCAGCCGGCGGCAGGGAAGAGACCUGCUGGAGUUUCCUUGAGGCUGCAGGGCCCUUAGAAGCUGGAAACGCCGAGCAAGAAGCAACCGGCGCCGGCCCGGGCAGAGCGGCAGAGGCGGGGCCGCGGUGGGCGGGGCCGAGCCUGGGCGGGAGCCGCUCCGAGCGCGCGUCGGCACCGCCCCUGGCAACGGCCACAACAGUACCGGGGGAGCCUCAGCCGGCGGCAGGGAAGCGACCUGCUGGAGUUUCCCUGAGGCUGCAGGGCCCUUAGAAGCUGGAAACGCCGAGCAAGAAGCAACCGGCGCCGGCCCGGGCAGAGCGGCAGAGGCGGGGCCGCGGUGGGCGGGGCCGAGCCUGGGCGGGAGCCGCCCCGAGCGCGCGUCGGCACCGCCCCUGGCAACGGCCACAACAGUACCGGGGGAGCCUCAGCCGGCGGCAGGGGAAAGACCUGCUGGAGGUAAAGAGGGAGCAAAGUGUCUGCAGGGGCAGGAAAGGGAAACCCUUGUGCUGCACAGGUAGCUUUUGGGCGACUGUCUACAAAGGUGGCCUUGAGGCCACGAAUUCAGAGGGCGCAAAGUGUGCUAGGGCAGGACAGGGAACCCCUGUGGAUGACAAAGCCAGUAACGGCUUCUAGAGCAAACACAGUGCUCGGCGGGGUUGGAAGCGGGUUGAAAACGUAAGCCAUUAAUUCAGGCAGAGCAAGAGGUGAUGUACAGCACAUAGUACAGAUGGUGCCUGGCAGCCUGCACGGAGCCUCACCAGGGGCUGUUUAGUGAGGAUACGUUGGGAGAGCUGGCCGAGGACUGCCCUGCGAGCAGUUUGCCUCCCAGCAGAUACAGCUGCUACAAAACAAAACACUUUCCUGGACAGAUACCCUGAGGCUGCAGGGCACUAGGCAGCAUCAGCCAUGGGAAAGGGUAAGAAGCAACCGGCGCCGGCCCGGGCAGACCGGCAGAGGCGGGGCCGCGGUGGGCGGGGCCGAGCCUGGGCGGGAGCCGCCCCGAGCGCGCGUCGGAGCCGCCCCUGGCAACGGCCACAACAGUACCGGGGGAGCCUCAGCCGGCGGCAGGGAAGAGACCUGCUGGAGGUAAAGAGGGAGCAAAGUGCCUGCAGGGGCAGGGAAGGGAAACCCUUGUGCUGCACAGGUAGCUUUUGGGCCACUGUCUACAAAGGUGGCCUUGUGGCCACCCAUUGUGGGAACAAAAUAGAUACUCUGCUGGCAGGACAGGGAACCCCUGUGCAUGGCAAAGGCAGCAACGGCUUCUAGUGCAAACGCAGUGCUCGGCGGGGUUGGAAGCGGGUUGAAAACGUAAGCCAUUAAUUCAGGCAGAGCAAGAGGUGAUGUACAGCACAUUGUACAGAUGGUGCCUGGCAGCCUGCACGGAGCCUCACCAGGGGCUGUUUAGUGAGGAUACGUUGGGAGAGGUGGCCGAGGACUGCCCUGCAAGCAGUUUGCCUCCCAGCAGAUACAGCUGCUACAAAACAAAACACUUUCCGUGACAGAUUCCCUGAGGCUGCAGAGACCUAAGCAGCUGCAGCCAUGGGAAAGGCUGAGCAGGAAGCAACCGGCGCCGGCCCGGGCAGAGCGGCAGAGGCGGGGCCGUGCCCCAGCGGUGCCGCGGUGGGAGGGACCGCGGAGGGCGGGACCCAGCCGGAACCGCCCCGAGCCCGCCUCAGAGCCGCACCUGGAAACGGCCCCGGCAGAGCGGCAGAGGCGGGGCCGAGCCUGGGGGGGGGCGAGCCUGGGCGGGGCUGAGGCUGGGCGGGAGCCGCCCCGAGCCCGAAACCGAGCCGCAGCUGCAACGGACACAACAGCGCCGCGGGACCGUGAGCCGGCGUCACGGGAGCGACCUGCUGCAGGUAAAGAGGGAGCAAAGUGUCCGCAGGGGCAGGACAGGGCACCCUUGUGCUCCACAGGUGGCCUUUGGGCCACUGUCUGCAAAGGUGGCCUUGUGGCCACUCAUCCAGAGGGAGCAAAGUGUCUGCAGAGGCAGGACAGGGCACCCUUGUGCUCCACAGGUGGCCUUUGGGCCACUGUCUCCAAAGGUGGCCUUGUGGCCACUCAUCCAGAGGGAGCAAAGUGUCUGCUGGGUCAGGACAGGGCACCCUUGUGCUCCACAGGUGGCCUUUGGGCCACUGUCUCCAAAGGUGGCCUUGUGGCCACUCAUCCAGAGGGAGCAAUCUCUGCUGGGGCAGGACAGGGCACCCUUGUGCUCCACAGGUGGCCUUUGGGCCACUGUCUGCAAAGGUGGCCUUGUGGCCACUCAUCCAGAGGGAGCAAAGUGUCUGCAGA
This is a long non-coding RNA of Pogoniulus pusillus (Red-fronted tinkerbird), 2324 nucleotides long. RefSeq lists it as uncharacterized. The transcript has 3 exons. Lineage: Eukaryota; Metazoa; Chordata; Aves; Piciformes; Lybiidae. The record is from RefSeq and is a predicted model, not a curated record.